Molecule: ribosomal RNA, 235 nt
Filed under: uncultured Actinomycetales bacterium
Lineage: Bacteria; Bacillati; Actinomycetota; Actinomycetes; Actinomycetales
Description: partial 16S ribosomal RNA
Rfam family: Bacterial small subunit ribosomal RNA
Source: RNAcentral
UGGCGAACGGGUGAGUAACACGUGGGUGAUCUGCCUUGCACUCUGGGAUAAGCUUGGGAAACUGGGUCUAAUACCGGAUAGGAACCGUCUUUAGUGUGGUGGUUGGAAAGUUUUUUCGGUGCAAGAUGAGCUCGCGGCCUAUCAGCUUGUUGGUGGGGUAAUGGCCUACCAAGGCGGCGACGGGUAGCCGGCCUGAGAGGAUGGACGGCCACAUUGGGACUGAGAUACGGCCCAG